GUUCGGUGUUUGCCGUUUGUUUAUGUGUUACAUAUUUCUUUGUCUUUUUUAUAUAUAAACAAGGCCGUGAGUUUUUUUGUUUAAAUUGUUUUACAUUGUUAUUUCGGGGCCUUUAAUAGCGGACUAUGCGGUAUUGGCUUUGCUCAUUGUUUAAGGCCGUACAGUUACCUAUAGCUACUAAUUUCUGUGUAAUGUUGGUCUCUGGUGGAGAGUUGUCUCAUUGGCAAUUACACCACAUCUUCCUUUUUUGUAUGUUUAGUCUAACUUUUCAGUAUGGGCAUUGUUCUUUGUUGAAGGCGAAACGGUG
This 307-nucleotide long non-coding RNA is filed under the name Mytilus galloprovincialis (Mediterranean mussel). The record is from RNAcentral. Lineage: Eukaryota; Metazoa; Mollusca; Bivalvia; Mytilida; Mytilidae.